AAACUUACCUGGCAGAAGAUAUAUCAUGAUCACAAAGGUGGUUUUCCCAAGGAAAGGCUUAUCCAUUGUACUCCGGAUGUGCUGAGCCCACCAAUUUCCCCAAAUGUGGGAAACUUGACUACAUAAUUUGUGGUAGUGGGGGACUGUGUGUGCUCUCUUCCCUG
This is a small nuclear RNA of Prolemur simus (greater bamboo lemur), 164 nucleotides long. Its record names the gene U1. It matches the Rfam family "U1 spliceosomal RNA". Rfam says of the family: U1 is a small nuclear RNA (snRNA) component of the spliceosome (involved in pre-mRNA splicing). Its 5' end forms complementary base pairs with the 5' splice junction, thus defining the 5' donor site of an intron. NCBI's taxonomy places the organism in Eukaryota, Metazoa, Chordata, Mammalia, Primates, Lemuridae. The record is from Ensembl.